AGCGAACGCUGGCGGCAGGCCUAACACAUGCAAGUCGAACGAACUCUUCGGAGUUAGUGGCGGACGGGUGAGUAACACGUGGGAACGUGCCUUUUGGUUCGGAAUAACUCAGGGAAACUUGUGCUAAUACCGAAUGUGCCCUUCGGGGGAAAGAUUUAUCGCCAUUAGAGCGGCCCGCGUCUGAUUAGCUAGUUGGUGAGGUAACGGCUCACCAAGGCGACGAUCAGUAGCUGGUCUGAGAGGAUGACCAGCCACACUGGGACUGAGACACGGCCCAGACUCCUACGGGAGGCAGCAGUGGGGAAUCUUGCGCAAUGCGCGAAAGCCUGACGCAGCCAUGCCGCGUGAAUGAUGAAGGUCUUAGGAUUGUAAAUUUCUUUCACCGGGGACGAUAAUGACGGUACCCGGAGAAGAAGCCCCGGCUAACUUCGUG
RNAcentral lists this ribosomal RNA (433 nucleotides) under uncultured bacterium. RNAcentral's name for it is "partial 16S ribosomal RNA". It matches the Rfam family "Bacterial small subunit ribosomal RNA", at positions 29 to 507 of the family's 1533-position model. The record is from RNAcentral.